Molecule: ribosomal RNA, 253 nt
Filed under: uncultured bacterium
Lineage: Bacteria
Description: partial 16S ribosomal RNA
Rfam family: Bacterial small subunit ribosomal RNA
Source: RNAcentral
GACAGAGGUGCCAAGCGUUAGGCGGAAUCACUGGGCUUAAAGCGUGUGUAGGUGGAUGUCUAAGUACCUUGUGAAAUCCCACAGCUCAACUGUGGAACUGCUCGGUAUACUGGACGUCUUGAGCCACUUAGGGGCUACCGGAACAAAUGGUGGAGCGGUGAAAUGCGUAGAUAUCAUUUGGAACGCCAAUGGUGAAAACAGGUAGCUGGGAGUGUGCUGACACUGAGACACGAAAGCCAGGGGAGCGAACGGG